RNAcentral lists this ribosomal RNA (253 nucleotides) under uncultured bacterium. RNAcentral describes it as "partial 16S ribosomal RNA". It matches the Rfam family "Bacterial small subunit ribosomal RNA", at positions 524 to 776 of the family's 1533-position model. The record is from RNAcentral.
UACGGAGGGUGCAAGCGUUAAUCGGAAUUACUGGGCGUAAAGCGUACGUAGGCGGUUUAUUAAGUCAGCUGUGAAAUCCCCGGGCUUAACCUGGGACGUGCAGCUGAUACUGGUGAACUCGAGUGUGGAAGAGGGUAGUGGAAUUCCGGGUGUAGCGGUGAAAUGCGUAGAUAUCCGGAGGAACACCGGUGGCGAAGGCGGCUACCUGGUCCACAACUGACGCUGAGGUACGAAAGCGUGGGUAGCGAACAGG